UGGCCAGACUCCUACGGGAGGCAGCAGUGAGGAAUAUUGGUCAAUGGGCGGAAGCCUGAACCAGCCAAGUCGCGUGAGGGAUUAAGGCCCUAUGGGUCGUAAACCUCUUUUGUCAGGGAGCAAGGUCGUCCACGUGUGGGCGUAUGGAGAGUACCUGAAGAAAAAGCAUCGGCUAACUCCGUGCCAGCAGCCGCGGUAAUACGGAGGAUGCGAGCGUUAUCCGGAUUUAUUGGGUUUAAAGGGUGCGUAGGCGGGACCUUAAGUCAGCGGUAAAAUUGCGGGGCUCAACCCCGUACUGCCGUUGAAACUGCAUCCCUUGAGUGCGCGAGAAGUAUGCGGAAUGCGUGGUGUAGCGGUGAAAUGCAUAGAUAUCACGCAGAACUCCGAUUGCGAAGGCAGCAUACCGGCGCGCAACUGACGCUCAUGCACGAAAGCGUGGGUAUCGAACAGGAUUAGAUACCCCUGUAAG
RNAcentral lists this ribosomal RNA (469 nucleotides) under uncultured bacterium. RNAcentral's name for it is "bacterial SSU rRNA". It matches the Rfam family "Bacterial small subunit ribosomal RNA", at positions 328 to 793 of the family's 1533-position model. The record is from RNAcentral.